Phrynosoma platyrhinos (Desert horned lizard) is the source of this 75-nucleotide non-coding RNA. NCBI's taxonomy places the organism in Eukaryota, Metazoa, Chordata, Lepidosauria, Squamata, Phrynosomatidae. The record is from the annotation of a GenBank genome assembly.
AGCAAUGUGGCGUAGAGGUUUGAGCAUUGUUGGACUAUGGCUCUGGAGACCAGGGUUCGAAUCCCUGCUCAGCCC